AAAUAUUUUGAUUGCCAUCAAUUGUUCGCAGCCAAUAAAUCCGCACUUAUUGGCUGUGAACAAUUGAUGGCAAUCAAAAUAUUU
Molecule: microRNA precursor, 84 nt
Filed under: Anopheles arabiensis
Lineage: Eukaryota; Metazoa; Arthropoda; Insecta; Diptera; Culicidae
Description: microRNA mir-315
Source: RNAcentral